Dehalobacter sp. CF is the source of this 267-nucleotide non-coding RNA. The record is from Rfam. NCBI's taxonomy places the organism in Bacteria, Bacillati, Bacillota, Clostridia, Eubacteriales, Desulfitobacteriaceae.
CCGUGCUAGACGGGGAGUCAGCGGUUCCUUGUAACCCGCAAUCCGCUAUAGCGGGGUUUAAUUCCUUUGAUGAGGAUCUGGUCGUCGGAGCAGUCCAUGUUUGAAUGUGAUGAGUUUCUGGUCUUGCGCAACGGAACGCUUUGAACCGUGUCAGAUCCUGACGGAAGCAGCACUAAGGAGUUAGUUCUGUGUGCCGCGAGGUGACCGGGAAUGAACAUUUGAGCAGGGUUAACGUCCGGAGGUUUUGGUUCGAUCAAAGGUGCACGG